This 346-nucleotide ribosomal RNA is filed under the name uncultured bacterium. Its description in RNAcentral is "partial 16S ribosomal RNA". It matches the Rfam family "Bacterial small subunit ribosomal RNA", at positions 338 to 681 of the family's 1533-position model. The record is from RNAcentral.
CCUACGGGUGGCAGCAGUGAGGAAUAUUGGUCAAGGGACGAGAGUCUGAACCAGCCAAGUAGCGUGAAGGAUGACUGCCCUAUGGGUUGUAAACUUCGUGUAUAAAGGAAUAAAACGAGGCACGUGUGCCUUUUUGCAUGUACUUUAUGAAUAAGGAUCGGCUAACUCCGUGCCAGCAGCCGCGGUAAUAUGGAGGAGCCGAGCGUUAUCCGGAUUUAUUGGGGUUAAAGGGAGCGUAGAGGGGUUGUUAAGUCAGUGGUGACAGUUUGCGGCUCAACCGGAAAAUUGCAAUUGAUACUUGCAGUCUUGCGUACAGUUGAGGUAGUCUGACUUCGUGGUGUCGCGG